RNAcentral lists this ribosomal RNA (264 nucleotides) under uncultured bacterium. RNAcentral describes it as "partial 16S ribosomal RNA". It matches the Rfam family "Bacterial small subunit ribosomal RNA", at positions 793 to 1055 of the family's 1533-position model. The record is from RNAcentral.
GUCCCGGCUGUAACGGUGUAUACUUGGUGUGGGAGGAUUUAUCCCCUUCCGUGCCGGAGCUAACGUGUUAAGUAUACCGCCUGGGGAGUACGGUCGCAAGAUUAAACUCAAAGGAAUUGACGGGGCCCGCACAAGCGGUGGAGCAUGUGGCUUAAUUCGAUGCAACGCGAAAACCUUACCUGGGUUCGAAGUGUAUGAUCAUAUCGGGAUGAAAGUCCCGAGUCGGUUCGGCCGGUUCAUACAAAGGUGCUGCAUGGCUGUCGU